CACAUGAACAUCGACAUUUUGAACGCAUAUUGCGGUCCAUACUGACUAGUUUCUUAAUUGAAGCUGUAUGGACCACACAUGGUUGAGGGUCGUUAGUUUAUGCUAACUGAAUUGCUUUUUAAUUAAGGCUACAUCAUGAGGUGUUGUCAAUCUUAAGUGUAUUGACAUCCCUUGAAAAUACCUUUGGUACACAAUUUUUUAUUGUGAAUGCUUGUUUUAUCAAAGAAAACAAAUAUCUUGCAAGAACUUGUGAAAACAUUUUCUUUUGAAGUUAGUAAGCUUUGAUUAAGCGUUUAAACAUAAUAGUUUACGUGAUCAAAUUAAAUUCUAUUUGAACGCUUCAAAAUGUAAUGUGUGAGUAACGAAACCUUGUUUUGGAUAUUUAUUCGAUAAUUUUCUUUGAAUAGACGUUCCCAACAAUGUUGAAAGCGGGUGGCAUUUAUGGCAACAAUAAAAUACAAAUUGAUUUAAACAAACCAAAAGCGACCUCAACUCAUGUGAGACUA
Molecule: ribosomal RNA, 506 nt
Filed under: Syntemna daisetsusana
Lineage: Eukaryota; Metazoa; Arthropoda; Insecta; Diptera; Mycetophilidae
Description: eukaryotic LSU rRNA
Source: RNAcentral